GAUGGCCAAGAUGCACUGAUGAGUGGUAGAGAAAAAAUACGCCAAAGAAAGUCUCGCGACACAUCGGAGAAUCAUUGAGAAAAAUAUUCCAAAGAGUCUUUCUGCGCAAAGCAUCUCUCAGUUUUUUUUUCGAUGAUUGCCAUAUAUCAGAAGCUUCCUGAUGGGUGUGGAAUUUUGUCUUGGGGCAUGAGAAAUUUUGAAGGGCAUGA
Molecule: long non-coding RNA, 209 nt
Filed under: Elaeis guineensis (African oil palm)
Lineage: Eukaryota; Viridiplantae; Streptophyta; Magnoliopsida; Arecales; Arecaceae
Description: long non-coding RNA (EGUI_LNC056591)
Source: RNAcentral